Molecule: non-coding RNA, 108 nt
Filed under: Lentilactobacillus diolivorans
Lineage: Bacteria; Bacillati; Bacillota; Bacilli; Lactobacillales; Lactobacillaceae
Description: Lactobacillus diolivorans TPP sequence
Rfam family: TPP riboswitch aptamer (THI element)
About the family: Vitamin B(1) in its active form thiamin pyrophosphate (TPP) is an essential coenzyme that is synthesised by coupling of pyrimidine and thiazole moieties in bacteria. The previously detected thiamin-regulatory element, thi box was extended, resulting in a new, highly conserved RNA secondary structure, the THI element, which is widely distributed in eubacteria and also occurs in some archaea. Analysis of operon structures identified a large number of new candidate thiamin-regulated genes, mostly transporters, in various prokaryotic organisms.
Source: RNAcentral
UAGAAACACUAGGGGCGCCACCGGUAAGUGGCUGAGAUGAGUCUGUUCGACUUGAUCCCUUAGAACCUGUAAGUCAAUGCUUGCGGAGGAAAGUGUGAAUGGAUAACC